RNAcentral lists this ribosomal RNA (253 nucleotides) under uncultured bacterium. Its description in RNAcentral is "partial 16S ribosomal RNA". It matches the Rfam family "Bacterial small subunit ribosomal RNA", at positions 524 to 776 of the family's 1533-position model. The record is from RNAcentral.
UACGUAGGGGGCAAGCGUUGUCCGGAAUCAUUGGGCGUAAAGCGCGUGUAGGCGGCCCGAUAAGUCCGCUGUGAAAGUCCAGGGCUCAACCCUGGGAUGCCGGUGGAUACUGUCGGGCUCGAGUCCGGAAGAGGAGUGUGGAAUUCCUGGCGUAGCGGUGAAAUGCGCAGAUAUCAGGAGGAACACCAAUGGCGAAGGCAGCACUCUGGGACGUGACUGACGCUGAGACGCGAAAGCGUGGGGAGCAAACAGG